GCUGGGCGUAGUGGUGCGUGCCUGUAGUCCCAGCUACUUGGGAGGCUGAGGCAGGAGAAUCACUUGAACACGGGAGGUGGAGGUUGCAGUGAGCCAAGAUGGCACCACUGCACUCCACCCUGGUGACAGAGCGAGACUCCGUCUCAAAAAAAAAAAAAAAAAAGAGAGACGGAGUUUCACUCUUGUCGCCCAGGAUGGCAUGCAGCAACACGAUCUCUGCUCACUGCAACCUCUGCCUCCUGGGUUCAAGCGAUUCUCCUGCCUCA
RNAcentral lists this small RNA (266 nucleotides) under Pan troglodytes (chimpanzee). The record is from RNAcentral. Lineage: Eukaryota; Metazoa; Chordata; Mammalia; Primates; Hominidae.